CUACGGGCGGCACCAGUGGGGAAUAUUGCACAAUGGAGGAAACUCUGAUGCAGCAACGCCGCGUGGAGGAUGACACUUUUCGGAGCGUAAACUCCUUUUAUAUAGGAAGAAGAUGACGGUACUAUAUGAAUAAGCGCCGGCUAACUCCGUGCCAGCAGCCGCGGUAAUACGGAGGGCGCAAGCGUUACUCGGAAUCACUGGGCGUAAAGAGCGUGUAGGCGGAUUAAAAAGUCAGAAGUGAAAUCCUAUAGCUUAACUAUAGAACUGCUUCUGAAACUCUUAAUCUAGAAUAUGGGAGAGGUAGAUGGAAUUUCUGGUGUAGGGGUGAAAUCCGUAGAGAUCAGAAGGAGUACCGAUUGCGAAGGCGAUCUACUAGAACAUUAUUGACGCUGAGACGCGAAAGCGUGGGGAGCAAACAGGAUUAGAUACCCGUGUAGUC
This 439-nucleotide ribosomal RNA is filed under the name uncultured bacterium. Its description in RNAcentral is "partial 16S ribosomal RNA". It matches the Rfam family "Bacterial small subunit ribosomal RNA", at positions 339 to 795 of the family's 1533-position model. The record is from RNAcentral.